This is a non-coding RNA of Dama dama (fallow deer), 1109 nucleotides long. Lineage: Eukaryota; Metazoa; Chordata; Mammalia; Artiodactyla; Cervidae. The record is from the annotation of a RefSeq genome assembly.
AUGGCUGAUGGGAUAUUUGCAUUUGUAGUUACUGAAGGUAGAAGAAGGCUGGAUUAUUGUAAGAGCUUUUACCAUUGUGACAGCUCAGGCUGGAAGAAGAUAUUUGGAGAAGGAGCUAUCAUCAUAGUAACUCCUCCUGAGAGAAACCUUGCUGCAGACACUUCCCCCAAGCCCACUAUUUUUCUUCCUUCAAUUGCUGAAAUCAACCAUGAUAAUGCUGGAACAUAUCUUUGUCUCCUGGAGAAAUUUUUCCCUGAUGUUAUUACAGUUUCUUGGAAAGUAAAAAAUAGCAACAGAGUUCUGCCAUCCCAGCAGGGAAAUACCAUGAAGACCAAAGACACAUACAUGAAGUUGAGCUGGCUGACCGUGACCAAAAACUCUAUAGAUAAACAACAUGUAUGUGUUGUCAAACACAUGAAAAAUAUAGGAGGAAUUGAUCAAGAGAUUAUUUUUCCUUCAAUAAAAGAAGUUGUCUCCGCAGUUCCCCCUACUACUGAGACUCCUACUACUGAGCCUCCUACUACUGAGCCUCCAGAUGAUUGUUUGACCGAUGAAAGUGAAGCUACAGGUACUGGUUCUAAAAAAGCUUGUCUGAAAGAUAAAAGUGAAGUCACUGCUGAUACUAAUUCUACAAAAUCGUGUCUGGAAGGUGAAAGCAGUACCCUGGAGCUGCAGCUCAUAAACACCUCUGCCUAUUACACCUACCUCUUACUCCUUCUCAUAAGCACAGUCUACUUUGUCAUCAUCACGUCCCGUGUGUUUAGGAGAACAGGCAUCUGCUGUGAUGGGAAGAUCUCGUGACAAAGAGGGCUACCGAGAGGUCAACGUUCCUUCAUCAUCUCCAGUCCCAGAAAUUCUCUGCUUGCUUUCUGUUUUGAGUGAGCUCAGUUCAGAUGUGUAUUUAUCUGUGACGUCAUCAUUGUCCCGCCCCCAAGUCCUUUCAACUCCUGAGGCACACCAUGGGCAGCUCCCUGUCUCCUCCCCCCGCCCCUCCACCCAGACCACGGCCCUGCCCCUCCCUGUCACACACCCUGGAGAAGUCAGCUUUGCUGCUCGAAUUCUGUACUCAGAUUUUCAUAACAUGCACAAUAAAUAAAAAAGAAUCACAA